RNAcentral lists this ribosomal RNA (492 nucleotides) under uncultured bacterium. RNAcentral's name for it is "partial 16S ribosomal RNA". It matches the Rfam family "Bacterial small subunit ribosomal RNA", at positions 29 to 507 of the family's 1533-position model. The record is from RNAcentral.
AGUGAACGCUGGCGGUAGGCCUAACACAUGCAAGUCGAACGGCAGCACAGUAAGAGCUUGCUCUUACGGGUGGCGAGUGGCGGACGGGUGAGGAAUACAUCGGAAUCUACUUUUUCGUGGGGGAUAACGUAGGGAAACUUACGCUAAUACCGCAUACGACCUACGGGUGAAAGCAGGGGAUCUUCGGACCUUGCGCGAUUGAAUGAGCCGAUGUCGGAUUAGCUAGUUGGCGGGGUAAAGGCCCACCAAGGCGACGAUCCGUAGCUGGUCUGAGAGGAUGAUCAGCCACACUGGAACUGAGACACGGUCCAGACUCCUACGGGAGGCAGCAGUGGGGAAUAUUAGACAAUGGGGGCAAGCCUGAUCCAGCCAUACCGCGUGGGUGAAGAAGGAGUUCGGGUUGUAAAGCCCUUUUGUUGGGAAAGAAAAGCAGCAGGUUAAUACGCCGCUGUUCUGACGGUACCCAAAGAAUAAGCACCGGCUAACUUCGUG